Molecule: ribosomal RNA, 496 nt
Filed under: uncultured bacterium
Lineage: Bacteria
Description: partial 16S ribosomal RNA
Rfam family: Bacterial small subunit ribosomal RNA
Source: RNAcentral
AUGAACGCUGGCGGCGUGCCUAAUACCUGCAAGUCGAGCGCACAGACGAGGAGCUUGCUCCUCUGACGUUAGCGGCGGACGGGUGAGUAACACGUGGAUAACCUACCUAUAAGACUGGGAUAACUUCGGGAAACCGGAGCUAAUACCGGAUAAUAUAUUGAACCGCAUGGUUCAAUAGUGAAAGACGGUUUUGCUGUCACUUAUAGAUGGAUCCGCGCCGCAUUAGCUAGUUGGUAAGGUAACGGCUUACCAAGGCAACGAUGCGUAGCCGACCUGAGAGGGUGAUCGGCCACACUGGAACUGAGACACGGUCCAGACUCCUACGGGAGGCAGCAGUAGGGAAUCUUCCGCAAUGGGCGAAAGCUUGACGGAGCAACGCCGCGUGAGUGAUGAAGGUCUUCGGAUCGUAAAACUCUGUUAUUAGGGAAGAACAAAUGUGUAAGUAACUAUGCACGUCUUGACGGUACCUAAUCAGAAAGCCACGGCUAACUACGUG